UACUAUUCUAGAUGUUAUUAUAUAAGGCUUGAGUAGUAAUAGUUAUAUUCUUAAAACUCAAAAAAUUUGGCGGUGUUUUAGUCUUAUCAGAGGAAUUUGUCCCGUAAUCGAUAGUCCACGUUUUACUUUACUUAAUUUGGUUUACAGCUUGUAUACCGUCGUCAUCAGGAUAUAUUAAAAGAUUAUAUUCGAGAUUUAUUAGUAUUAAAUAUGUCAGGUCAAGGUGCAGUUUAUAAUUAAGAGGAGAUGAAUUACAAUAUAAGUAUAUAUACGGAUUUAAAAAUGAAAGGUUUUAAUGAAGGAGGAUUUGGGUGUAAUAAAAUAUAGAUAGAUUUUAUGAUAUAAAGCUCUAAAACAUGCACACAUCGCCCGUCGCUCUCAUUUUAAGGU
RNAcentral lists this ribosomal RNA (390 nucleotides) under Ephemera danica. RNAcentral's name for it is "partial 12S ribosomal RNA". Lineage: Eukaryota; Metazoa; Arthropoda; Insecta; Ephemeroptera; Ephemeridae. The record is from RNAcentral.